AACGAACGCUGGCGGCAUGCCUAACACAUGCAAGUCGAACGAGACCUUCGGGUCUAGUGGCGCACGGGUGCGUAACGCGUGGGAACCUGCCCUUAGGUUCGGAAUAACUCCCCGAAAGGGGUGCUAAUACCGGAUAAUGUCUUCGGACCAAAGAUUUAUCGCCUUUGGAUGGGCCCGCGUUGGAUUAGCUAGUUGGUAGGGUAAAAGCCUACCAAGGCGACGAUCCAUAGCUGGUCUGAGAGGAUGAUCAGCCACACUGGGACUGAGACACGGCACAGACUACUACGGGAGGCUGCAGAGGGGAAUAUUGGAAAAUGGGCGAAAGGCUGAUCCAGCAAUGACGCGUGAGUGAUGAAGGCCUUAGGGUUGUAAAGCUCUUUUACCAGGGAUGAUAAUGACAGUACCGGGAGAAUAAGCACCGGCUAACUCCGUG
Molecule: ribosomal RNA, 433 nt
Filed under: uncultured bacterium
Lineage: Bacteria
Description: partial 16S ribosomal RNA
Rfam family: Bacterial small subunit ribosomal RNA
Source: RNAcentral